GCAGAGUGUGGUGGUGCAUGCCUGUAAUCCCAGCAACUUGGGAGGCUGAGACAGGAGGAUUACAGGUUUGAGGUCAGCCUUUGCAACUUAGCAAGACCCUGUCUCAA
This 107-nucleotide small RNA is filed under the name Marmota monax (woodchuck). Lineage: Eukaryota; Metazoa; Chordata; Mammalia; Rodentia; Sciuridae. The record is from RNAcentral.